This 11013-nucleotide long non-coding RNA is filed under the name Nicotiana tabacum (common tobacco). Its description in RNAcentral is "long non-coding RNA (NTAB_LNC019149)". The record is from RNAcentral. Lineage: Eukaryota; Viridiplantae; Streptophyta; Magnoliopsida; Solanales; Solanaceae.
ACCCCAUCGUCUUCUCCACCCCUCUACGCUAUGAAUCGCCGACCGAAAAUUGUCUCCGCUGGACAAAGUCAACCAAAUCCCCGCAAACCGAUAUCAAUCGACUCCUCCUCUUAUUCCCUAUCCCAUUACAUCAAAAUUGAACCUCCAUUUUCAUCCCGUUACCACUAGACUCGAAACCGUAACCGUCGUUUCCCCCUUUUCAUUUCCAGCCCAAUUCAUGGUUGUAACCAACAGGAAUUGAUGUCAGUUUCGGUAGAUUUCAAUGGCAAUCGGCGCUAGUCAACUCACCGUUGACCGGCCAGAAUCUAAUUUUCUCCCGUUGGCUCAGGAUUUUUGAAAGGUAUUUCUCUACUUUUCCCUUUUUACUCCUUCCUGCCGUCUUGUUAUUUCAAUGGCAGAAUUUGGGUUAGGUUCUCUAUUCUUAGCCUUUGUUCAUAUACGUUCUCUAGUGUUUGCAUGUUUACUAAUAAGCUAGAUUUCGUGUCAAAAUUUAUUUGCUUAGUGAUUGUUUGUUAAAUUUGGAUUAUUUUGCUGUCUUGAUUUGUUGGUUAAUUGUGAGGAUCUGAUAGAUUGGACUUGUUCUCAGCGGGUGUACAAGCCCAUGUGUCCAUUGGGUAAGCAAUUUCCUGGGUCGGACAGAUGGGUCUAAGCCCAUUCUUUUUCCUUUAGAAUCUGAUAAGGUUUAUAAUAGGAGGCCGUAAUUCGGGGAAGGCUGUUAAAAGGGUAAGGUAGAAAAUGUAAAAGCAGGGGUUUAAAGGGGUAAUUGGAAAAAUAAACUUAAGAAAUCUUUUUGUUAACUGCUUGGGAAGUUUUCAGGAAAUAGGGAAAAGGACUAAGUAGCAAAGAAGAAGAGGAAACCCUCUAGAAAGAGGUCGUGUGAGGGACAUAGGUGUUUAAAAGCAGAAGGAGUAGGGGGUGCAAAAGAAUUUAAAAGGAAAAGCCCUAAAUUCUAGAUUAUAAGUAGGUGUUCUUCCUCACAUAUGAGGGACUCUUCAUCAGUUAAGAAACACACAUUAGGCUGCCCAUAAAAUACUAAUUUAGAAGAAGAAAAUGCAUAAAAAAUAAAGAAAGAUUGGAUAAGAGAAGGAUUGAAAAGGCUGUUUUGAAUUCUGUUUGUUUGCUUCGUAUUUUUCUGGAUUUUCAAAGAGUAAAUUUAGUCUAAAGUGGUUCUAGUUGCUGCUGAUUUUGUUGUCUUGUUCGCUGAGCUCCCUCCAUCCUUCUUCUUUCUUAGCCUUUAUUUGGCAUUAUAAGUGGUAUGUGAACACUAGGUACACUUUUCUUACUUUGUAUCUCGACUCUUCUGCAUGAUGAAUUUCUAAUUUUUGUGAUGUGACCUUUGUUUGGCUCAUCUUCUAAUUUUAAUUAUUGGUUACAUGCUAAACAUACUUGAAAUGCUUGAUACAAUGACUAAUUGAAUAGUUAAGGCAUGUUGUGAGCAUAAUUAACAAUAAAAUGAUUAUCAACAUCAAGUUAUGAUUUCGUAUAAAAAUCUAUGAACAUUAAGGCUUAUUAAGUUUGAAGGAGUGCAAUUGUUAUAUUAUUAAUGUCAUAUGUAUAAUUUUCAAAAGAUUGACUGGUGGAUCUUAGUCUUCACUUUUGUUUGCUUGAUGGAUGUGCACGAGAUAUGGGUGUAAAUUCCGAGUCCGCAUGAAUAAAUGCUAGGCUAGACGAAUUGGAGAUAGUUAUUCACAUAACUGAAUCCAGAUUAGCAAAAUCCAUGUAAUUCCUGUUUUGUUUAAGCCGUGAUGUAUGAUUAAAAUGUUGAUUUCAUCAGCUGUGUAUUUGGUUAGAUUAAUGAUUGGAAGUUGUGGUUGCCACUGUUGGUAACUAGUAUUUAGUUUUGACGGUCCUUUUUUAGAAGCCCAGAUCUUUCGAAGUUAAUGAAGUUGGACUAAACUUGAAUUCAGCCCAGCCAGGCCUGGUACGACUAAUUAUAAUCACGCCUAUCCUCAGGCCCAUCCUUUAAUUGAUAUCCUUUGAGGAUUUUGGGCUUUAUCAUUAAGAACUCGAUUGGGGCCUAGUUAAAUCCAGCAGGCCAGGCCUGCAUCCUUCGCGUAUGGCUUCAUCUAUUAGAAGGCAGAUUUAAACGAGGCCCAAACUUAUAAUUUUUCUUUAAUAUACAAAACCAGCAAAGUUGUGGUUCUUUAGACUCGUUAAAAAUCCGUUGCUGAUGCCUUUUAUAAAAUGAACCAAUCAAAUUCUCAUUUUCAAUUGUGAUCUUUUGUAGUGCUAAGCAAUCUUCUCAUCACAACAUUUAGUUAAUAGAAAUAACCAACAAUAGGAAUAACAUCAGUCUUAAUUGAUUAAAUAGAACCCAAACAAUUAAUUAGUCCAAGUAAAAAGAUUAUACGUGGCCUAUCACAACAUAUCCAUAUGCAAUGAUCUUAACCAAAUAACCUUAAACUAGUUUAGGAAAAUACCUUAUGAACAUUUGUAGUUGCUUUAGGCGCGCUUAUAAAAAUAAAUCAUCGCAUUUUUGGGUACGGUUCCCGUGGCAUAAUUAUGACACCUAAUUCAACAAUUCAAGUGUGUGUUCGUGAAACUUGAUCCUCAACUUCAAAUAAUUUGAUAAAUAAACAUAUUGUAAAUUGCGGGUGCAUUUCACGUGACGUGAUUUAUAAUGUGUACAAAAUAACAAGUGUACGACAUCGUAACUUGUUUAAAAUAAAUUCCAUUAAUUGUUAAAAACAUACAAUUAAAAGCGGUAAAAGGUAAAUGCACAUAAGUUUAAAAUAUAUAAUAAUCAAAUUAAUUAAGCCAAAUAUAAUUGUUAAGUGACCGUGCUAAAAUCACGAAAUCCAAGCAUGCUUCACACCUUCUCCCAGGUUAACAUAAUUUUUUACACGAUGUUCUGUAUUUCGCACACUUAAACAGAGUCAAUUUUCCUUAAAUUGGGAUUUAAAAUAAAUCGGUGACUAGGAAUACCAUAAUUAAAUUAUUUCAAGUGGCGACUCAAAAAUUAAAAUAAAAUUAAUUCCUUUUCAAUAAUGUCACUUAAAUCGAAAAAAUUCCUUUCUUUCCACAAUCCCCGAGAAAAAGGAGGUAUGACAGCUCUGGCGACUCUCCUGGGGACACGAACCUAGAAUCUGUGGUUCAGGGUUCAGAAUUCGAGCUUAAAGUACUUUUAUAAUUGUCUUCUUGUGAUUGUCUAAUAUUACAUAUUUAGGCCUAAUGUGCUAAGUGCCGCUUAUUUGUAGCUUUAAUAUUUGUGAAUUGUAUAUAAACAACUGUUACGACACCCUUCUUCUCUCUGAGUUUACUGCAUCUACUGUGAGCGCACGUAUGUGUGGCUCUUUUCUUUUAGAAGUGUCACACCCAUAAUCUUAGAAUGGGGAUCAGAUUAGUUACAAAGCCAGAUGGCUGUUUGGUUUCCGGUAUAUUACCCCCCUCCGCCGGCUCGAGUUGUCUGCUCGGGUAAGCUAGGUCUAGAAUUCCACGCCAUUUAAGGCUUUACCCUAGAAUAACAUAGCCCCAUGCUGGAUCCCUAGUAGGUACACUUGUUUACAUCAUGUGUAUUUGACUUUGGGGACUCAACACAGGGGUUGAGUCCGUCUAGGACAAUUGUACCUAAGAUUAAAAGACCAUGCGUGAUGCAUCUUACAUGCUACUUAUACAUUUGUUUGGUAUGUGUUGCAUGUUGACUGGAUUCUAAAAUAGCAAAGAAUCGCGAAAAAUUAGGAGAGAGAAUAUAUGAGAGAAAUUCACCCGUUUUGUUUGUAAAAUUCCGGUAUUUGAAAAAUCCUGAAACCUUAUCAAAAAGUUUAAAGGUGGUUACCAAAUGAGCCAAAAUCUUCAAAGUGUCGUGCAUCCUCCCUGUUUUGAAAAAAUUUACCGAACUACGCGGGUCUAAUUCUCACUGGUCGUGAUAUACGUAGGCAACCUUCAUCAGGUUUGGCCCCGCCUUUUACAAGUAUGACCAAAAUGAGAACUAUAGUAAGUAGAUUCCAAAAUAAAGUCGUGUUACGCCGUUCUUGUCCAAAUAGCCAAGAAAUGUUCCUUCGAGACGCCGAAAGGUUGUUUUUACCAAAAUAGCAGCAUUGGGCCCUUUUUCCUCAAACUUUGUGCCACUUGAGCAGGCACAACCCUAAAAUCAUCCCCCGAAGUGCUGAAGGGUCGUGUUUACAAUAGUGGCCACCUGAGUGUUUUUCUUGGUUUUAAAAAUCAGAUUUUUGCGAAAUUUAUUUUUCUAUAGUUAUUUUGAAAAUAAUAUCCCUUUUUUGACCCAUUUUAUCCUUUAAAUGUGCAGAAUGAGCACUAUCCAAAAUUUACCUCUACGAGUCAUAGAUGAGAUCCCAUUGAAGCUCCAUAUAUGGUGGGAUGACUUGGGGUAAAAAGGAUGGGAUCUAGUCAAUCAUUACUUGGGGGGCACUCACCAGUUUGUUAAAGAUUAAGCCCAGAAGUGACUUGAUAGGGGUAUUGGUGCUAUUCUGGGAUCCAGCUCACAAUAUGAUUCGUUUCUCGAACUUUGAGCUAACACCUACUUCAGAGGAAAUAGCGGGCUAUGCUGGAACUACAGAAGGGUUAAGGUAAAAAAAUAUUUGAUAGCCCUAAGGAUCGUCAUUCCUCACAGGUUUUUAGAUCUCUUGAAGAUAAGAAGGAAGAUUAAGACCGUGGACCUGGCAGAUGGGUUUUGCUCUUUCCAAUUUUUGUAUCAGCAUUGUGGGAAUUCGAAGGGGUUUGAGAUUCAAGAAAACGGGCUUUGCAACAAAGGCAAUCGGACCAAGUGGGAGAUGCACAGGGGUUUUGAUUUCACAGUGGCAUUUUUAGGCACCUUGGUGUUCUCGAGAGAGGAUAGAAACAUUGAUUUACGCCUAGCCGGAGUUGUUCUAGUUUUGACUACCCAAGACAAAAGAACCCUUAUACCUAUGAUUGUAUUAGACAUAUUCCGAGCUUCGACAUCUUGCAAGGCCGAAGCCAAAUUUUUUAGGGAUGCAUCCUAUUGCUACAAAUGUGGUUGAUAGAUCACUUUUUUCAUCGUCGCAUAUAUAUGAACUGCGGUGCUAGGGGCCAGUUGCAUUGAAGAGUUUGAAAAAAGGGUGACUGGUUUCAUAAUGCCAGAAUGGGUUAGGGCUUGGAUCACCCGCCUUCGUUCAUUAACUUCAAGUCAGAUAGAGUGGAUCCUGGGUUGGCUUUCUGCUAACGAGAUCAUUCAUAUGUAUGCCACUGGUUCUUAUUUUCUCUUGAUGGGUCUCCGCGUUAUUCAGUCGUACGCCGCAUCCCGGCUACUGGUGCCAGCUAGUUCCUCAAGAUGAGGACCUUAGUGUUCAUGUUAUCGAGUUACGUCCCAAAGCUCAGUUUCCCAAAAAUAUAGUCCGCCAGAUUUGGAGUGAAUGCCAGUAUUUGGGGCCAGAUAUCUGAGUACAUGAUUUAUCAAAGGGUGAGGUUGAACUCGGAUAUGCUACUUAGUAUGGAAAGAGAGCAAUGGUAAAUAAUGAGUCUAAAAGACCAGCCAAGAGGCCCCACGUCCAAGAGUUUGGUGAUAGGGCACAAGAACACUGAGCUUGGGUAGCAAAAAUAGAAAAAUACAGGGCCACAAUCAAUACCCUACAAGAGCAAGUGAGGGUCCUUAGCUUUGAGAAGGAAUUGCAAGCUACCGAGGAUGACAGAGAAAAGAAGAGAUUGGCUCGCGAUAAUGUGGCCCUUCGAACCCAACUCUGAGAGAUGAAAAGGGCAUCAGAGGUACAAGUAAGAAGUGAAAGACAUCAAUAAAUCAUCAAAAAUUUGAGGCAGUGUGUGUUUGAUCACGCAACCGAUUUGACAAAAACUAAGAAAGAGAUAGCAAGGGCCCGUGAGAGGAUAGUUCAAUUAGGUGAAGAUUUUGAGAACCGCCUAAGGUUGGCCUGCCAAGCAAAGCAAAAUCACGAAGAAGAAGUUGCUGGUUUAAGGAAAGAUUUGGCCAUCCUUGAAAAUAAAAUGAGUCAACAAGUUAAGGACUUUAAGGCAGAAAGAGAACACUAUUACAACUUGCUAAACCAGUUGUAGGGGAAUGUGGUAGACCCACAAAACAAGAGGGAUCAGACAUAAUACUUGGUAGGAGCCCGAGAUCUACAUAUUAGACUAAUAUUUCUGGACCAAAGAAUCACGAAGUUCAGCAUUCAGGAAAUAUCCGACUAUGCUGCCAAGAAAUGCAAUGACUGUGAAAAGAUGACCAUGGUCAUGUUCUUCUCCACAAUGUUGACUUUUGUUGGCCAGGUCAUGAGUGAUCUAGAAGUUUUUUAUUGGAAACAUACCGACGCAGUGACUAACAGAUGUCACACGAGGCCCUGCUUGUCCAUUGUAUCAGUUGCGUUUGAUUAUCGAGUCUGUAGUUUACUUUCCCACAUCAAGUCUGUUGUUUAUUAUCCAUUUCGAAUCUGUUGUUUAUUGUCCAUUUCGAGUCUGUUGUUUAUCUUUCACUUUGAGUCUGUAUGUUUUUUUCUAAGUCAAUUUUAAUAUCAUUUAAAGUCUUUGUAUUAAAAACCCAAAAAGAUUUUUGUUUAAUGAAAUAUUGAAAACUUAUAAAUUCUCUCCUUUUAUUUUUGCAUUUAUUUUUCUGAACUACGUGAUGGUCUGAUUCAAGCGACAUCAUGAUACGUAGGCAAUCCUCGAAGGAUGCGAUCUAAAACCCGAACAAAACCACGAAUGAAAUAUGAGUGGAAAAAGCAAAACAAAAAGAGAAAACAAAGAGCGAUAAGACCAAAAAGAGAGUUUUAAAAAAAAAGAAAAGAAAAGAGAGAUGUAAUAUAAAAGAGGUAUGAAAAAUAGAGCGAGAUAAUAAAUAAGCCGGGAUGAAACAUGCAACCUUUCAAAUACACGAUAGAAGCGUUUUUAACUGUUAGGUGCAUUGCAUCCGUACUUACGAUUUCCUAUCUGUUAAGUGUCACGUCCAAAACUCCCUAGACAUGACUGGCACCCAGCUAACACUACCCGCUAGGCGAACCAAUUCCUGUAUUCUUAACCCUUUUAUAAGCAUUGAGAGAAAUACGUACUAGUUCAAACGCAUUAAAUAUUACUAAAUAUAAAAUAAUUAUCCAACUAAAACCAUAAUUUAUUUAUAAAUUAUGAUGAGCCCUCAAAUAAUAAAUCUCUAACCCAAAUUCCAUACUAAGACAGUGCAACAUCUAAAUAGAGUAAUAGAAGUCAAACCGACGGGCAUGCAAACCCGAAAGAAAUAAUAAACAUAAGAUAGGUAGAACUGAAACAGUGGCCUCCAUGAAUGAUGUGGCGGCUCACCUCAGCAAUGGAAUCCACUCAACGAACUUGUUAGCCACUAGUCUCGUCCUCGUCAACAGUAUCUGCAUGGACAUGCAAGUAAGGAGUGAGUUAUACGUAAAUAUAACUCAAUAAGAUUCUCGACCCGCCACUCUGAAUACCUAUGGAAUAAGUGUUCGAAAAUACAAACACUCAACGAGCACAUAAAUAAUAUGCCCAAAAAUUCUUUCACUAUAUAAUAACUCUAUAAGGCCCAAACAAUUAUUCAACAACAAUACCAUAUAUCUCAGCACAAUCUAUACUAAGGACUUGUCAUAAACGACAAUGAAAAAAAUUAACCAUACACCCCAACGAGUCCACGACAACAUACACAAUGCCUCAAAUCUAUCACGGCGGCAUACACAAUACCCUAAAUAUAUUACGGUAGCGAAGAAAUAAUUUCUAACGCCCCAACGGCAUAGCACGAGGCUAUGCCACAUCACACCACACAACAAAUCACUUAUAAAUAUUUUUAAAUUUUUUUACAAAAUAAUAUAUAUUUGUGGCUGGUCAAAGACCACCGAUUCUGUCGAGCGCACGCUAGUCCCAACACAUAGACCUGUCAGACAAAACAUACUUUCAAAAUGGGUUUUGAAAAGGCAAACACCAAAGCUUAAAGUCUCACUUUCCCAACCUUGCAACAUCCAGAACACCAAGCAAACAACCUCCAAUCUCCUCAAUCUAUCUAAAAUAUUAAAUAACACGUCCUAAUUAAGCUAGGUGAAUAAUUUUCAUAAUCUUAGGACGAGUCAAAAUUAAAGUUAACCCUAGUCUAAUUAAUAAAAUAUGUACACAAUUCGUUAAACGCAGAACGUGAAAGAGAAUACCGAAAAAGAGUUGGCUGCAGAAUGCAUUCUGAUGCUUAAUCCACCUAACUCAUUAUAAUUAUUCUAAUCAUUGUCAACCAUUGAAUCAUAAUUACUCUAGCCUCUCAUUAUUAAAUAAUUAUUGGCUAAUCAUUAGUAUUCUAAUUUUUUAAAAGAAGCAAAAGUAUAAAUCGAAAGUUGAAUUUCUGAUGCAAGUUACUGCCAUCCUAAUAUUAUUGGCUAAUCAUAAUAAUAAUCAUUAGUUUAUUAUGAUGCCAUUAUUUUUUUAAAAAAAUAUCUCUACAAGGUAUGUAUAUAUAAUACUCAAAAGUGUGAGCUAACAAAUCAAAGUAAAUCUCCACACCUGAGCUAUUAAACCUUCACAGUGCUUGUUUCAAUUACUUCCCUCAAUCCCGCCGUCCAACCCCCCUGAAGCUCUCCUCUGUGUUUCCCUUAUAUAUGCUUCAGGAACAAAGGGAUCAAUUUCCCUAGGUCUUAAAACGUGGCAGCUACAAAAGAUUGGGCUUGGCCCACUUACUGUAUCCCUUUAAUGAAAAUUAAUUUCUAAGGUUUGUGUAGUGUGUGGCCCAAUAGCUACAAGUUAAAUAAUUUUUUUUCUUUCUCAAAUUUUACAAUUAGUAAGUAUACAUAUAAAAUUUCGGGUUAUUACAUUCUCCCCCACUAAAAAAAAUAUUCGUUCUCGAAUGUUAAACAAGCAAUACCUUAAAAAAGAGAGGUACGAAUACUUCUUCGUUACACUCAAUUUAUCUUUUCAUAUUUUCACUACAUACGCCUCUUCUAAUAUAUUUGAAAACUUAUUAAUAACUACAACUAUUCUAAAAGUCAAAAUCUGAACUCUAGUGUCUAAAAUCAUAGUUUGAUAUGUUGAACACUUUCUAUUCAUCUCAUGUAAAUCCUUCGUAUAAGGAACUUCCUCUAUUACAACCCAUAUUCGCAUACGUUAGAUCACGCCGUAAGUUAGUCGACGUAAUUCCGGGAAGAGAUUAUCUUUGAGAUGAUAAGAAGUUAAUCCCAGUGGUCUUAAAUGAUACAAGGGUGUAUAAGAGUGGUUAACAAGUAUUAGAAGUUAGAAGUUAAACAAAUCAAGGAUGUUGUAACCCUUAUUUUCGGAUAAAACUAGAGGUGCUUAAUAUGCUAAGGAGGUCGUGUUUUAAGGUAUUUGAAUCAUAUAAUAUCUGUAUCAUAAGUCUUGAAGUCAAGCGAUCUAUGAAACAAAAGUCGACAAAAGUUGUCGCAACUUACGUUCAUAAUUUUACAUAAAAUUUAGGUCAAAUGUUACUUAAAUUUUCUCCCAAUUUAUUUGGAAUUACAGGGUGAUUCACCCCCCAGUUUGAAGAUCUAUGAGUCUAGUUUCUAACGCAUUAAAUCGUUCAUCGAUAUGACGUCGGAGUAGAGAGAUAUUUGCGUUUUUGCGAGACUAUGCAAGCAGCUCUCUAUGGAACCCACUUAGGCGGUUGAGAUAUAUUGAUAUAUAUGAGACUCCUUAAGCCUGUUUUAACUCAUUAUUUUUCACUCUCUUCUUACCCUAGACACCUAAAAACUUUCUCUCAAAGUUCUCUCAUGAUACAAGACCCAUACAAAGGGCAAACAACACAAAUAAAGUGUCGGGAAUCCCGUGGCGCUAGUAAGUUUCUUGUUCUUCUUGUUGUUGCUGAUUUUUGUGUGGUUCCAGCUCGUGUGGGAGGUUGUUUUAAGUUUUGUAAAAUAAUCUCUCAAGUUUUUAAUAUCAACCCUAGGUGAUUUCAAGUCUUUCAAAGUGAUUCUAGUGCCGAGGAACCCGAAUUGAUUGCUAGUUUCGCUUCCUUGUUUUUAUGGCUGCAUUGGUAGGAUAUUUCGUGGUGAAGUAAGCUCAAAUUGGAGUUGUUCCUAUCUCAGUAAAGGUAAGGAACGUCUUACUCUACAUGUAUUUAAGCUUAUCCAAGUUGCGGCUAAGUUGUUAAAGCUAGAACUUGUGAGAUAUCUGUCGAAAGGCUUGUUAGUAAUGUUGUUGAUUGGUGGACUGUUUUGGGAUGCUUAAUAUGAUUAUUAUUGAUGUUGUUUGGGCUGUUUGGUGAUUGUUUUAACUUGUGAGAAGUCAUAUAAAUAGGGGAGGUGCUGUCUGUUUCAUCGUAAAAUAGGUUGCAGUUGAUAUGUACUAGUUACGACGCUUAAACGAUAACGAUAGUAUCAUUUCUCUUAUUGUAGACUAAGGAGCCGUGAGACUUGCAUAGCUUGAGGUUGGGCAGUAUAUACAAAGUAUGUGAGGCUAUCUCUUUCUUUCUUUUGCACGACUUCGAUUGUACAUAAUGUAACGAAUGAGCUUCCAAAGAUACUCCACUCUUAGAAGCUAGCAGUACUCAUAUUGUUUCCCUUCUUAUGGAAAGAUUGAUGUUGAUGUUGCUUCUCUUAUUUUUAGGUAACAAAUGUUGUUGGUAUUUCCUGAUUUCUAUAAGAUUCAUGAUGAUGAAUUAGCUCUAAUAACGUAUAUGAAGGUUACUGACCUUACGUCACUCCAAAAGGUUUAGAACGUGAUUGUAUGAGUCCAACAUGCAUUAUAUAUAUGUAUCUAUUUUACUCUACCGAGCCGCGCUAUAGUCGGUUGGGUAUGGCACCUACUGUGCAACCACUAAUCAGUUGGGUUUUACCGAGCUCCAUGUGGCCUGGUACAAUUUUACCGAGCCUUAUGACGGCCGGGUUACAUUUUUACCGAGCNNNNNNNNNNNNNNNNNNNNNNNNNAUAUAUAUAUAUGUAUGUAUCAUGUAUUUCAUGUCACGCCCUCAGAGGCACUCAGAUGUUACAUGUGUAUUCUCUAUCCCUGUUUACAUUACCGUCCUUAUUUGUGCUUUCCUGCCUUACAUACUCAGUACAUUAUUCGUACUGACGUCCCUUUUAUUUGUGGACACAACAUGUCGUGCUGCAGGUCCUGAUAGACAGGUAGACGAAGCUCCCCCACCACAAUGGGCUGCCCAAUUCAAC